CCUACGGGAGGCAGCAGUGAGGAAUAUUGGUCAAUGGGCGGGAGCCUGAACCAGCCAAGUCGCGUGAGGGAUGACGGCCCUAUGGGUUGUAAACCUCUUUUGCCGGGGAGCAAAGAGCCUCACGUGUGCGGUGAGGAGAGUACCCGGAGAAAAAGCAUCGGCUAACUCCGUGCCAGCAGCCGCGGUAAUACGGAGGAUGCGAGCGUUAUCCGGAUUUAUUGGGUUUAAAGGGUGCGUAGGCGGAAGCUUAAGUCAGUGGUAAAAUUGCGGGGCUCAACCUCGUCAAGCCGUUGACACUGUGUGCCUUGAGAAGGCGAGAAGUAGGCGGAAUGAGUGAUGUAGCGGUGAAAUGCAUAGAUAUCACGUAGAACUCCGAUUGCGAAGGCAGCGUACCGGCGCCCAUCUGACGCUGAAGCACGAAGGCGUGGGUAUCGAACAGGAUUAGAUACCCGGGUAGUC
This 459-nucleotide ribosomal RNA is filed under the name uncultured bacterium. Its description in RNAcentral is "partial 16S ribosomal RNA". It matches the Rfam family "Bacterial small subunit ribosomal RNA", at positions 338 to 795 of the family's 1533-position model. The record is from RNAcentral.